GGCUUUCGAUGACCAGCUUUGGGCGCAUUUCAAUUGCCUCCCCGCCAGGGACAUGCAUGAGAUUACCUUUUCCGCAGAUGAUAAGCCAAAGCUUCUCAGUCAGUUGACUUCUUUAUUAGCUGAAAUUGG
Molecule: long non-coding RNA, 129 nt
Organism: Salvia splendens (bonfire salvia)
Lineage: Eukaryota; Viridiplantae; Streptophyta; Magnoliopsida; Lamiales; Lamiaceae
Exons: 3
Source: RefSeq, a predicted model, not a curated record